GAUGAACGCUGGCGGCGUGCCUAACACAUGCAAGUCGAACGAGGUAAAUAAGAUGAAGUUUUCGGAUGGAUUCUUAUUUACCGAGUGGCGGACGGGUGAGUAACGCGUGGGUAACCUGCCUCAUACAGGGGGAUAACGGUUAGAAAUGACUGCUAAUACCGCAUAAGCGCACAGUACCGCAUGGUACGGUGUGAAAAACUCCGGUGGUAUGAGAUGGACCCGCGUCUGAUUAGCUAGUUGGUGGGGUAACGGCCCACCAAGGCGACGAUCAGUAGCCGACCUGAGAGGGUGACCGGCCACAUUGGGACUGAGACACGGCCCAGACUCCUACGGGAGGCAGCAGUGGGGGAUAUUGCACAAUGGAGGAAACUCUGAUGCAGCGACGCCGCGUGAGUGAAGAAGUAUUUCGGUAUGUAAAGCUCUAUCAGCAGGGAAGAAAAUGACGGUACCUGACUAAGAAGCCCCGGCUAACUACGUGCCAGCAGCCGCGGUAA
RNAcentral lists this ribosomal RNA (494 nucleotides) under uncultured bacterium. Its description in RNAcentral is "partial 16S ribosomal RNA". It matches the Rfam family "Bacterial small subunit ribosomal RNA", at positions 28 to 523 of the family's 1533-position model. The record is from RNAcentral.